GUCAUGUGCAGUGGGGAUGAACCUGUAGCCACUGAUUUAGCAGCAUGUUGGGGGGGCUGAGACAGGAGAUUCGCUUGAGUCCAGGAGUUCUGGGCUGUAGUGGGCUAUGCCAAUUUGGUGUCUGCACUAAGUUCGGCAUUAAUAUGGUGACCUCUUGGGAGCAGGGGCCACCAGGUUGCCUAAGAAGGGGUGAACUGACCCAGUUGGAAAUGGAGCAGGUCAAAGCUCCCAUGCUGAUCAGUAGUAGGAUUGCUCCUGUGAGUAGCCACUGCACUCCAGCCUGGGCACCAUAGUAAGACCCCGAAUCUA
Otolemur garnettii (small-eared galago) is the source of this 309-nucleotide non-coding RNA. NCBI's taxonomy places the organism in Eukaryota, Metazoa, Chordata, Mammalia, Primates, Galagidae. The record is from Rfam.